CCCCCUGACCCUCCGCAGCCUCGCCGCCUCCCUCCCUCCUUCCACACUCCGCCCGUGCCGAUUCCCCAUCCGUUAAGCUCCAGUGCUGGGAAAUCCUGUGAAUUCCUCCGGUGGUGGCGGGGGUGGAGGUGGUGGGGGUUGCGUGUGGCACAUCCUUGGUGUUGGGGGCUGCAGGGGCUCGGCUCCCCUAGGCCCAGGAGGCAGAUGAAGCCCUCGGUUUGUGGGUUAGCGAAGGCAGGUAGCUCAGGAAGGAGAGGUCACGCUUGUCUCAAGCGCCCGGAGAGAGGGCAGCCACCUGCCACCCUGGGGACCUGGAGCAGUGGCCCAGGAGGUUGUGUGCAAGUGACAUUGAGGAAAACCUGUGCAAUUAUCCAGCUGCACUUACACUGUUAAGGGAGGUCGUUCUGGAUCACAGGGAAGACCUUCCAAGCAUUAAAAUUCCAUGUUAUCAUUGUCCCAAGGUAGAGUGGAGGUAUAAAGCAGCCGUGUCCGUCAGCAACUUCCAUGCCAGGAAACGGGGAAGAGUUGCUUUAAGGCCACAAGAUCGUUAUGCAUCAUCAUCAGACUUCCAUGUGGUUCACUCAACUGAAGUUGAAUGUGGAGGCCAGGAUGUUGUGGAGUUUAGAACACAGCUGUCUCCUUGCUCCUGGUCUGGCCCAAGGCCAUUUUACAUCAGUGCAGUGAUAUGAAAGAGUGUUCCAGUGCCCGAUGUGUUGGAAGCUACACUGGUUUUCAGGGAGGUGGGUGGACUAACACACAGAGCUCACUGCUGGACUACUGAACUUGGGAAGAAAGCCUUAUGGAGGUCUACCUGUGAGACCAUUCCAAAGGUCAUUACUAGGAUGCAGCAGCCUCUGGAUGUAGUUCUCAUUAUUUCUAAAUGGAUGCCAAUACUGAAUCUUCGUUAACCUCAAUCCUCCAUUUUAGAGACAGCAGCAGCUCCCUGGCUCCUGCACAUGCAAAACAUUUGAAUUUCCUGUUGGCUCAGAGAAUUGCAGCAUCACAGAAUAGGCCAAGUUGGAAGAGACCCACAAGGAUCAUCGAGUCCAACUCCUGCCCCUGCCCAAGACCGUCCCCCAGAGUCACACCAGGUGCCUGAAAGUAUUGUCCAAACACUUCUUGAACUCUGUUGGGCUUGGUGCUGUGACAACCUCUCUGGGAAGACUUUUCUAACACCCAACCACUCUCUGGGUGAAGAACCACUUUCUAGUAUCCAACUUAAACCUCCCUGGCACAACUUCAGGCCGUUCUGUUGGGUCCAGUCACUGGUCACCACAGAGAAGAGGUCAGUGUCUGCCCCUCUUGUUCCCCUCACAAGGAAGUUGUAGCUGCAAUGAGGUCUCCCCUCCGUCUCCUCUUCUCCAGGCUGCACAAAGUGACUUCAGCUGUUCAUCAUAUGACUUCCCCUCAAGGCCCUUCCUCAUCUUUGUUGACCUCCUUUGGAUGCUCUCUAAUAGCUUAAUAUCUUCUUGUUUAAGUAAGUUUAGGCUCAUUCUUAUAUCCAUGCUUAUGCCAGAAAAGUCAUAAAGAAAUGUGCUUCUCAUUGAGGGGAAAGGUGCUAAAUAUUGUGGUAUUUGUUAUUCCCUUGGGGCAGUUCAUUUUAUCAUCUCAGGUUGAUGGAAGUUUCAUCUCAUUCACAGAUGAACUGUGCUCUUAAUGAGACUUCCCCUAGCUAAACAAAUGAGGGUGUUGUCCAUGGUUGACCCUUUAGACUUUUAGGAACCAGGACUCCAACUUGCAAGAGAGAACAGGUGUGACCUGUAUGACUUGGACCAUCUUGCUGAGAAGAGGUCCUGAAGCAUUGUACAAGCUGGAGAUUUUCAUUCAGAAUCAGAUCUCACAAAGCAUGAGGCAGAUAAAUCAAGGGGUAGAUCACAUUUAUAGAGAGCUUUUUUUUUAAUAUCACUUUCCAAUGAAUCAUUAGUCUUUUACCUUUUUCUCCCCACAUAGGAAGGGAUAGAAUAUCAAUAUCUGAAGGAAAGAGGACAGCUAGGAACCUGGACUUCAGUGCAGAUAUUUUACAUAAUAGAGAAUUGUAGUUUUCCAAGAAGCAAAGACAAGAAAAUUUAUCGUGUGGCCUCUUUGCCUCCAGAUUCAAUUUUUUUAAAAAUAGAAAAAGACAGAUACUUUUUGGUAGAAGUAUGAAAAAGCAAAGGGUCUGAGGGUCAUAAGUGCAUCCUGUUUCACCAACAGUAAAACCUGCUUUGACCCUCCAUUAUAAGAAAAUAGCCCAAACAGCCUGUUUAGUAAAACAGAGAAAACACAGUGUCUCCAAAGGGCCUGGCCUAAGUGAGCAUCCAGAAUCCCAGCAAGCCAAGAAAUGAAGGCAGUCAGACUUGAUUAAAUUAUUUUUUACUACAAAUCUCAUUUCAGAGAAUGAUUAACGGGAGAAGAGACAUAAAUGGCAAAGUCUUGAUCAAAGGAGCUGCUGUCAGGGUACCAUCUAGAUAAAUCAGGAAAAGAAUGCUCAGGUUUCUGUGAAAGAAGACUAAUGACAUUAAGUCAAGAUGAAAUAGAAAGAAGUAGCAGUGCAGGCUGAAAUAAAAGACUAGCCUGUCUUGACAAGAAGCCCUGAGAAAUUUCCUGAACUGAAAAGUAACUGGAAUUGGAAAGGAAUGAUUUUCUAUAAGUGCCGGGUCUUGAAGUUAUUCAGGACAUCCUGAUGACCCAGUAAUGAAAUUUGCUUUUUGGAACAUGUCAAGACAAGUGAAAGAAUCCUCUGGAAGCACCUGAAACAGCAGUUGUUGGUAUCAGCUCUACACACUGCAGCUGUUCUGAAUCUCAUGUGCUCACUCUAUCCAACGGGAUCAGCCCUUUCACUUAAAGUCUGAAACAGUCCCACCUGGAGGCAAGCAGACAGAGGAUAAAAGGAGAGUGUGAAACCAACAGCCAGCUAAUGUUUAUGUAACUUUGAGAACCUGUUUACAAGAAAGUAGGAAUGGUAAUCUCCUGGAGGAAACAGUGGCCCUAACUGAAAUCUUGGGAAAACUUUAAAAGUGAUCUGAAGGUACCUGUGCAAAACAAAGGUUUCUCAGAAGUGUUUGCAUUGCAAGUGACAUCUGGCUGACAGGAAGCUGGAGAAAUGGGAUAUGAAGUGAAUGCUGCAGUUACCACGGUAUCAUAUUUAUCAAAAGGCUUAAGGAGCUCAUGUCUUCGCUACCUCGGUCAUCUUCCUAGCCUUUGGAUGAAGCAUCUGAAUCCCCAACAUUACCUCUGGAGCCCCUUUAAAAGCAGACUUCCUAAAAGCCACUGCUGGAGGCUGCUGACUGAUGAUCAAAGUUGUUCUCAAACGGGAGAUAAUCUGAUAAGAAGUGUAUUUGCAGCACAGGGAUCUCAGUUAUUUUACUUCUGCCCAUGGGAUGCCACUUCAGUUGUAGCUGUUUGAAUUAACAUGCCUCUUUGCUGCAUCUUCUGGCUGAGGAAACUGCAAGAAGUGCUCUCAUGGCCAGCAGAACAAAACGGUGAUCCACUCUGUUACUCAUUUCUGUGGCAUUUUUGUAAACCCACAUGGUUUAAUAGCAGAUACCUGAUGUAUUACUUCAUCAGCAAAUUCAACAAGGCCAAGAUGUCUUCAUUUUCCUUCAGAGCAAGAGCUGUAAGAGCAGUGUGAGGGAAGUGUUGGUCUUCUGUGGCCAGCCGGCGAGAACCCAUCAACAGCUGUGAUGAGCAGACCAGACACGGGGAACAGGAGGCAGCUGAAGCCAGAGAGGACCCACGCCUGGAGCUGUGUCUGUGUGAUUGGAGCAGAGAGAGGCCAGGACCCAAGGAAAUCCCAGCAGCAAGGGAAAAAAACAGAUUGACUCUCAGUGACUCAUUUAGCUCCUGGAUUGGACAGAUCUCUCCCCUGCUGGCAAUUUGGCUGAGCAUCAAUGGACAGAUACCAGGAUGAAUAGCUUAAAAUAAUUAGGGGUUGGGAAUUUGCAAAACUGCUAGCCAUCCAAUUCUUUACUGUGCAAUGCAAAGCAUAAAAAAGAAAUUACAUUUAGGUUAUUAAAUAUUAAGUCAGUGGAUUUACCUCCAUUUGGUGCAGAACAGGAAACUGGCUAAAAUUCAACAUUUAUAUCAUUGUGUUGAUGGUCUGUUUAUCACUGAACAAGUAAGUGCCUUUUGGCAGGUCAAGCUCUUUGACACAUGGGGCAAAUGUGUGCUUCAUUUCUCUCAAACAGAAGAAUUAAUAUAAUAAUAGUUAACACAGAUGAGAAUAGAAUUAAAAUCAAGUAAAGUCAGGAGUUCAGUUUAAUGCCAGGUGUUUCACAUUCUAGAUGCUCUGGGGCCAGAUUUUUUUCCUGUUGAAGGUAGUGAGGAUUUUGCCAUUGGCACUUUUGGGAGCUAAAGUGGGCCUUGGAUGCAGAGAAACAGGAUUCCCUGUACUUUCUUUUUAAUGCACAAACCCAGAAGCAACAGGCUCAUUUAGUAUCAGUAAAGGUCAGUUAAAAUUAUAGAGACAUCCUUUGGAGCAAAUCCUCUGCCUUGUAUUUGCAUAUUUAUGAAUUAGAGAUUACGACAGGCUAUUUCAUUUAUUAGAGCAGCACCACUAUAGUUAAUAGUCUGUCAGUAUUUCCAUUAUAAACCCCAUUUUUCAAUGUUUUAAUUUCUCAGCCAUUUAAAAUCACAUCAGGAAACAAGUUGGUCUUAUGUUGCCGGCCAGGUGCAAUUUUUUUGUUUUGGCUUAUUUUCCAUAAUGAAAUACUGUUCAUCAUAUAUGCAGAUGAGUCACAGCAUUUCUGUUGGGGGGAAAUAACGAAGUGUGUAAAUUCUUUGUGGCUUUGUUUUUCUUUAGGAAAGAAGGGAAAAGAGGGAUUUGACCAAUCACAUCCACUGGGGCUUCAUAUUUGAAGAACAGUUUUUUAAGCAACUACUCACAGAGCAAACACUGGUUCCUAAUGUGAAAUCAAGUUGCUGUUUGCUUGCCACUGGUGACCAAGGUAAAUAGGUGAGGAUGGUUCCCCUAUCCCUCAGAAAUUUCUUGUCUGCCAGAGUGAUAGGUGAAGCACACUAGGCAAGAAAGCAGUGAAUAUUAAAAAAGAGCCUUUAGAAGUAACAGGAGCCCGGGUUACAAAUUUUAAAAUCUGACCUCUUUUUAAGUGUCUUCCAGAUGCAGAGCAGUGCAGUACUGUACUGACUUUAUUGCUGAUAGUGGAGGUAGAGAAAAGGGCUUGGUGAUGCUUUGAGGGCAGUUGUGAAGCUACCUUGCACUAUGUCCAUGAACUGAGCAGUAUUGUUUAUUUCAGCAGUCUCACAUCAUGCUCCUUCCAAACAGCCACUUUGCUUUCAUACACGUUAGUUCACUAAAAAUAACUGCCUGGCAAGGGCAAAUGUUUAGACUAAAAUGACAAUUUUUAACUUUCUAGGGUAGCAAAAAGUUACUCUUCAGAGUAACUGAAAGAAGCUGGUCUUGCUCUACAACCUCUUAUCCUUUGAAAAGAGAAACAGUGCAAAUAGACAGUCCUGGUAAGUGGUUUGUUUUCAAGGUCCUGAAAAAUCAUUUGCUGCCACAGUAACUGGAAUUAAAAAUCAAAUUCAUUAAAAGAAAAAAAACGAGGCUAUGUGCAAAAGGUGUGUUGCUCUUUACUCUUGCCUCACAAACACAUAGUUGGAGGUGAGAACACAGUCCAUAUUUUCCACCUUUUCCAUCAUAAAGAUCUUUGUUCACAACUGAGGACUCCAGAUAAACUGUCAAUGGCAGGCCAGAAACACUACUGAAACAUCAUAUACAAUCUACUUGGUGCAUAACAGCUAAUAAAACUGCACCCUAGACGAGACACAGGGCUCAGCUGCUGUGCCACCUUCUGUGAAUUUUGACUGAAUUAAGAAUACAGCAAAUUUAGAAGUUACAUUACACACAUUUUUUUAAGUACAUGUGAGACAAGGUUGCAUAGACAGAAAUCUAUGAUCUUAAAGCUCCCAAAUCCAAAUGGUGAGACAGACUUUGCAUCUGACCUCUCAUCAACCUCAGGAGAACCAACAGCCCAGACUGAGACACUCCACUCAAGCUUGUGGAAAAUCCAUUCCAAAUCCAAGUGGCGAGGGUUCACCAUUGGUGCUUUCUUAAAGCAACAGUUAUUUGGGAUAUUUUUGUAGGUAAUUGGUAACUUAAAGUGCAUUUUUCAGAUUCCUUCCAGAGUUGCCAUUGAAAAGAACAAUCUUCCUUCCCCAGGCACAUCACAGUGCUUUUUCAGCUGAAAAUUAUCUCUGGUCAUGAUAGGUGAUCAUAACUGAAAAGCAGGCGGACUAGAGAUAUUCUGUGUUGAAUACAAAAUUACUUUAACAGUUUUAAAAACAGGUGUAACCCAAAGUAACAGUGGGGAAGGGAGGGUCUGCCAAACGGGUUUAAAAUGUCAUACAUUUUAAAAUGAAGUAUGAUGUGCUAUCUGCUGGAAACUCAGUCCAGGUUCAGUAAGCUAUCUGUACAGUAUUGCUCAUUUCAUAUAUGGUAUAUUUUGUCUUUAAUUUACAAUGACAUAAAAUCUUGUAUAACUGAUUGGAGUGCAUCUUUGAGUAUUAAAAAUACUAAUUAUUAUGUAAUUAGUCAACAGGAUGUGUGUAAUUGUGUAAUACCAGCAUUCCUGGGUGUGGUUAAGUACGUAGGUAGAAUGCCAACACUCAUCUAGAUGUAGUGUUAUGAAAUUACACAACAACAUACACCCUGGGUGGAUACUCUAAUUGUAUUUUACAUUUAAACAAUGGCUACAUUAACAAAAUAGAACUUAUUAUUUUUGAAAAUAUCUUCCCACAGGCAUGGAUCAUAGUAGAGGAUAGUAAUAAUAUUGCUCAAAUGAACUAUCUUCCAUCUCCUAAGGGACCCAGGCUUCUUCAUAAACGUACAAAUAGGAGACAGAAACCAGGCACAAAGAGGCCUUCAUUCACUCGUGGCAUGAAAUCACCCCAAAAUGGACAUGUGACAGUUGCUGAGUCGUUAAUUGCACUGGAAUAAUUGAAGGCAGAAAAAGAACAGGAAGAACUUUCUAUCUCAUGAAGAAUCACAUGGGAUUAACCAGAAAUGUGAUUAGAAAUGUUAUAUUUUUAUGACUUGACAGACAUCAGGACAACCCAUAAACCAUGGUGGGAACAGAAUCACAUAGUGAAUCAGAUUCUUCUUUGAACUUUCCUAGGGUUGACUGGUAUAAAAAAUGCUCACCUUGACCUUCUUUAUUGCUACAUCUGGGCAGCUCACCACAGUUGUACUCUUUUUUACUGCUUGAGAUUUACUUGUGUCCCUGGUGUGUUGUGAUAAGCCUCUGAAUGUCACUGCUGUGAAGGUUUCGUUCUUCUCAAAGACUCUCCGGAGGUUCAGUGAAGGCAAGUAGGGUUUGCUUUGUUUGAGAAAUAGAUUGUAUGUGUCACUAUUUUAAAGGGAAAUAUGGAAAGUGUUGGUUGAAUUUGACAGGAAAUUGGAAUGUUUGACUUGUCACAAGGCCAGUUUGUAUUAUGUGGACUUCUAACAUUGCUCAUAGUAGGUGGACCUCACCCCAUGGUGAUGGCUGGGUCAAGGCCUAGUUAUCAUGUGUGUGCUGUUUAACCUGUCUUUAGAAUUAGUCCAAAGUGGUGCAUAAGGCUCACGUAGUAGUAUAAAAUAAGAAACGUCAUCUGGAAAACACUACAGAGAAAUGCUGAAGUUUUGCACAUCGAAAAGGCUAAUUAGAAAUCCUUUUCUUUUAUAACAAAUAAACCAAGUAUAUUGACAUUAAUUAUAUAAAAUACACAAGGUUUGGAGUAAUCUGCUGAAGAUUACAGAUGUAUACCAAAUACUAUGCAAAUGAGUACGUGCAACUAUUCUUCAGGUAACACAUUUAUUUAUAAAAAUAAACUGUGUGUUCAGGUUUCUUUUUUAGUGGGUAGAACAUCAUGAAAGGUUUCUGUCUCUCUCUUGCUCUUACCCAACAUAGUGAAAUAGUUAUAGAUGUAGUUAUAUCUGUUCAUUACAGCCUAACAUCCAUUCUAGGAGCUUUGGAGCAGAUUAUUCCCAUACCUGAGUUAGUUGCAGUAGAUCUGUUUGCUUUAGUAGUAGUAGUAGUUCUGCAGUUUAGUAGUAGUUCUGUCAGCUUAGAUCACUGUAACUAGGAGCAGAAUCUGUUGGUAAAAUUCCUGUAAUCAUUGUAGAUUAUCACCUGGCUGGGGCUGUGUUGGCACUGGUAAGCUUCCUGGAGCCUGCUUCACAAUCUCCAAACCAUCCUACAAACGCUAGGGCUUAGCACUUUUGCUCUUAGAAACACCCAUCUACAAGGGCAAAUGUUGGUAGUUAAUUGUUGAUCUCUCCCAUCACCAGUAGAGGAUGUUGAAGUUGCCACUGCUGGUUCAACUCCUUGAAUUCUCCCAGUUUUCCUAACAAUUGUCUUAACAUUUCACAGGUGUGUCCACAGCUACUGUGUCUGCACAAAUUCCAAAAAGCUCAUGAUACAGUGUCUGUUUUCACCUCUCAGAUUGAAGCCCAUUAAAGGAUUUGAGGAAAACUAUUCAGUGCUGUGGGCAAUGAGGAGCAAAGAGGAUCCAUUUAGAUGAGUUGCAGGUAUUAUUUCAGACCUCUAAAAAGUAGGAAAAAUAUUUGUACUCUAUCAUUAUAACAGCAAUCUCUAUAUAUUUUCAAGAAUUGUCAAGAACUUGUCUCCAGUCUAGCUUGAAGAUUUUGGAAACCCACCACAUGCUACACGUGGGUCUGAACAAGAUUACCUAAGCCACAGAUGAUUGGGAGGGUGCAUAACACUGGUCAAACUUCAGCCUUUGACCUGUUCUUACACUUCCAGUUCUGACCUGUGCUUACACUUCCAAUUCUCACACUUCUGUUCUUACACCUGACUGUUCUUACACUUCCAGUUCUGAAUAUGCACUACUGGUAAUUAUCAGACAUAAAAUAUUGGGAUAAUUGGAUUUUUGUUCAACCCACUGUGCUUGGUCUUAGAUUUUUUAUGGUUCCAUCAUUUUCAGUGAGUCUAAAAAGGAGACAGCUUCUGUCCUAAUUGCACUGUCAUAUGGAAAAGCAGCAAUUUUUACCAACUCUGGUCACCCAAGGGCACCCUUUUAGAAAGAGUCACCUCUGACACAUGGAUCCAUGUUGGUUGACAUGAUAGAAGCAGCACUUGUAAAAAAAAUGGUUUGGAGUUGCAUAGCUUUUAGUGGCAACUAAAUGACGAAAAGAGUUGCAGGAGUGGGAGCAACAGGAGACUAUCAGUUGGGAAGUUGGAGUGAAAGCUUUUAUAUAUAAUUUCAGCUGUUUGAGAGGCAGAUGGUUCUGUUAGUAACUAUUCCUUAUGUAGAGAUCAAACUUCUAAAGACCUUCUUGCAUCUGCUUUGGAUAAAAUAUAUAAAAAAACUAAACCCCUGAGCUUUCACCUUCAGUGUGCAGUCAGGAAAUUAGAAGGAAAAGGAGCUGUUAUGCCUGUGAAAUUAAAUUGGACUCAAAGAUAAUUUAGGAUCAUAAUAAAGGUGAGAAGGUUCAGAAUCUUUCUGAACUAUUGUGAUACCUGUACAAAGGGUAUUGACCUGCUGUCUAACUUUUUUGUUCUUGCUUGAAACCUAAAAUUUGGUUUCAAAUAAAAAUCAAUCUCUACCAGUUCAUAUAAUACAAGUACUUUAUUGCAUUCUGACUGAAGCAGUGUUGCUCAGAGAUGAGGGGCCAAGUCCUGGUCUUGUGGCAUGGAGAGUUUCCAGACCACAGGCAAUUCUGACUUUAGGGGAAGGUGAGGGAGGUAGACAAAAAGAAACUAAGUCACAAAUGAAAACUUUGUGUUCCUUUCUAGCACUACUGGUUUUCUGAUGAAAUUUUCAAAAUUUCAGAUAAGUGGCACAUUUUCAGCCAACUCAAGGAAAUCAAAAUAGGAAAGCUCAGCUUUGCAAGGAGAAAC
Myiozetetes cayanensis is the source of this 9839-nucleotide long non-coding RNA. RefSeq lists it as uncharacterized. The record is from RefSeq and is a predicted model, not a curated record. NCBI's taxonomy places the organism in Eukaryota, Metazoa, Chordata, Aves, Passeriformes, Tyrannidae. The transcript has 15 exons.